UACGUAGGUGGCAAGCGUUGUCCGGAAUUACUGGGUGUAAAGCGCGUGUAGGCGGGAGGCCAAGUCUGCUGUGAAAUCGCCCGGCUCAACUGGGCGGGGUCGGUGGAAACUGGUCACCUGGAGGACGGUAGAGGCGAGUGGAAUUCCCGGUGUAGUGGUGAAAUGCGUAGAGAUCGGGAGGAACACCAGUGGCGAAGGCGGCUCGCUGGGCCGGCCCUGACGCUGAGACGCGAAGGCGUGGGGAGCGAACGGG
This 253-nucleotide ribosomal RNA is filed under the name uncultured bacterium. Its description in RNAcentral is "partial 16S ribosomal RNA". It matches the Rfam family "Bacterial small subunit ribosomal RNA", at positions 524 to 776 of the family's 1533-position model. The record is from RNAcentral.